AGCAGGGCAAUUAUGGUCUGUCAUUAAAUAUAUCUCUAUCGUCUACCGAAAGUGGAAUUAUAUUGUAGCUCAAAGCAUACUAAAGUUAUAAAUCGGGGUUUAAUAAAAUGAACGCGUCGAUAGAUAAAUGAUAAGUGUGUGAGUGACCACUGUUGUCUUUUAUAAAAAUCCGUUCAAUAGCUGCCUUUAUUUCAUUGCGGGAUGUGUUUUGGAACAAUAAAAUGCACGGAUUUUUCAAAUUGACAGCUGUGACACCUGUCAAAGUUUGAUUUGACAUAUUGACAAAUGUCACAUACACCCGAAAAACAUAGAAGUCAAAGAUGAAAGUAAGUUGUGUGUUGUAAAAACUAAAGGAAUUCCACCAAAAAUGGUAAGUUUAAUGAAAUAACAAUACUUAGUAUAUUAAUGGUAAUAUUUGGGUUCUUGUAGUUUGUUACAUUAUUAAUUGCUUUUGUUAUAUUUUUCAGUUGAUGCAAGACGGACAAGCGGGCAGGAGAAUGAUAGUGAAAUAUUUAAGAGGAUACGUACCCGGGAGUACAAACGUUUACGAUAAUAUCGUUAUCUCUAUCGCUCUUCAAUAUUGGCGCGACAGAGCCAGACUGUGUUUCAAUCGGCGUCUAGCGACGGCGAAUUUCCUCUGAGCAAUUCAGUCAGGGUAUGCUGCAAACAUACCAAGGAGCCAACAAGGAAUGUUGCUAGGCUUGCCGCGAGAGAUGUGAAAUGCCAUGACACAAAUUUUAAGUGGCCAUGACAUAUACUCAACAACAGCGGGCACUACAAGGCUCUGGCAUAGAGUACCUAGAGCAUGGAAUGAGGCCACCAUUGCAUAGUUAAAUAUGAUGGGGCUCCUUCUUGUUAUACUUUCUACAGCUGCAGAAAAAGAAAAACAAUGUAACACUGAACCAGUGAGGUGUAAUUGAACUAAAUGCCAUAAAACCAACUUGUUUGAAAUAGGUCCAGAAAAGUUAUAAGUUCAUGGUAUAUUAGAAAACACUCAAGAUGUCGAGGAAACACAAGAAGUUGAUGUCGAUCUAAUCAGAGAUAUUAAUUAUUAGAAAUGAAUGUAUUUGAAAUACAAAUAUAAAAUACCUAUUUUCAAUUUUAAAUACUUUUAUCAAAAACUAUUUUGUAUUUUAUUUCAAAUACUAUAAAGUGGAUGUGUUUUGCAUUUUUCUAAACUUUAAAAUACAAAAUUCUUUUUUCACCACACCAACUGGUAGAAGCUCUCUUCAUUCUCCAAAAAACGGAUGAGAAAGUUGAAUUUUAUCCGCAAGAUUGCAAAGUUGUUUCAUACAGAUUUUAACUUGUCCUAAGCUGGCUGGUAGAUUUUGCCUUUUAAGUAGGUAUGGUGUUUUUGAAUCAUAUCAUACCUACUCGCAUAUGUUUAAUAAAUUGAUGAUUUUGAUUUAGGUACAGUUAGUAUUUUCCUCGUAUUGCUAUGGUGAAAAAAUUGGUGUUUCCCUCGGGGCAAAAUUUGUAUAACCAUUGUGCCUUGAAACCCUCGCAACGCUCAAAACUAAUAGAGCUGCACCUAAGAAAGGUUACUUGUUAGAUUAGUUUGUUUGUUUUUGCACUUCUUCGUUACUUUAUGUAAACUGUAUUAAGUUGUGACAAUAAAGAUUAUUAAUUCAAUAUUUUUAUACGACAUACAUAAAAAAUAUGGAAAUAUAUGGAGAAUGGCUCUAAUUUCCAGUUAUCUGAACUUGUGAAAGUUUUAACAGUGCAGAACUUAAUUUCAAUGACCGAAGAGCUGGCGACUUCCUCACACAACUUAUCAGCAUUGCGGUACAGCGAGGGAUACAAUGCCUUAAGGGCCUAUUUUAGACAUUAGGUUUAGAAAAAGAUAAUGUACAUUUCUGUGAUGAAAAAUAGUGUAUUUAUAUUUUCUUUAAUUUAUAUUUUUCUGGGUUUUGUAACACAACAGUACAGUACAUUUUAACUCAGAACCUAUAUACAAAUGUCUUAAGUACAUUUUACACCUACUGUACCUGAAAUUUACAUACUAAUGUUUU
Leguminivora glycinivorella is the source of this 2012-nucleotide long non-coding RNA. RefSeq lists it as uncharacterized. NCBI's taxonomy places the organism in Eukaryota, Metazoa, Arthropoda, Insecta, Lepidoptera, Tortricidae. The transcript is spliced from 3 exons. The record is from RefSeq and is a predicted model, not a curated record.